RNAcentral lists this unclassified non-coding RNA (520 nucleotides) under uncultured Glomus. Its description in RNAcentral is "SSU rRNA". It matches the Rfam family "Eukaryotic small subunit ribosomal RNA", at positions 569 to 1090 of the family's 1831-position model. Lineage: Eukaryota; Fungi; Glomeromycota; Glomeromycetes; Glomerales; Glomeraceae. The record is from RNAcentral.
CGCAGCCGCGGUAAUUCCAGCUCCAAUAGCGUAUAUUAAAGUUGUUGCAGUUAAAAAGCUCGUAGUUGAAUUUCGGGAUCAAUAUGUCGGUCGUGCCUUCGGUACGUACUGGUAUCAUUGGUCUCUUCUUUCUGACGAACCAUGAUGUCAUUAAUUUGGUGUUAUGGGGAGUUAGGACUGUUACUUUGAAAAAAUUAGAGUGUUUAAAGCAGGCUUUAGCUUGAAUACAUUAGCAUGAAAUAAUGAAAUAGGACGUUCGAACCUAUUUUGUUGGUUUCUAGGAUCAACGUAAUGAUUAAUAGGGAUAGUUGGGGGCAUUAGUAUUCAACUGUCAGAGGUGAAAUUCUUGGAUUUAUUGAAGACUAACUACUGCGAAAGCAUUUGCCAAGGAUGUUUUCAUUAAUCACGAACGAAAGUUAGGGGAUCGAAGACGAUCAGAUACCGUCGUAGUCUUAACCAUAAACUAUGCCGACUAGGGGUCGGAUGAUGUUAAUUUUUUAAUGACUCAUUCGGCGCCUUA